RNAcentral lists this ribosomal RNA (557 nucleotides) under Oligophlebodes minutus. RNAcentral's name for it is "SSU rRNA". It matches the Rfam family "Eukaryotic small subunit ribosomal RNA", at positions 602 to 1130 of the family's 1831-position model. Lineage: Eukaryota; Metazoa; Arthropoda; Insecta; Trichoptera; Uenoidae. The record is from RNAcentral.
UACUAAAGUUGUUGCGGUUAAAAGCUCGUAGUUGAAAUUGUGUCCUGCGGUGUCGGUCUACCGAAUGCGGUACGACAGGCACGUCUGCGGGCUUCUCGCCGGUGCGUCCACCGCCGGCGUGUGUCGGUCGGCCUCACGGUCGGCCGCGCACCGAGGCGGGCCGUCGCGGCUGUUUACUUUGAACAAAUUAGAGUGCUCAAAGCGGGCUAACACUUGCCUGAAUAUUGUACGCAUGGAAUAAUAGAAUAGGACCUCGGUUCUGUUUUGUUGGCUUUCUGAUACCAGAGGUAAUGAUUAAUAGGGACAACUGGGGGCAUUCGUAUUGCGACGUUAGAGGUGAAAUUCUUGGAUCGUCGCAAGACGGACUAAAGCGAAAGCAUUUGCCAAAGGUGUUUUCAUUAAUCAAGAACGAAAGUUAGAGGUUCGAAGGCGAUUAGAUACCGCUGUAGUUCUAACCAUAAAUGAUGCCAGCCAGCGAUCCGCCGAAGUUUCAUAAUUUUAACUCGGUGGGCAGCUCCCGGGAAACCAAAGCUUUCGGGCUCCGGGGGAGUAUGGUU